Molecule: ribosomal RNA, 384 nt
Filed under: uncultured bacterium
Lineage: Bacteria
Description: bacterial SSU rRNA
Rfam family: Bacterial small subunit ribosomal RNA
Source: RNAcentral
AAUGGGGGAAACCCUGAUGCAGCGACGCCGCGUGAGCGAAGAAGGCUUUCGGGUCGUAAAGCUCUGUCCUAAGGGAAGAUAGUGACGGUACCUUAGGAGGAAGCCCCGGCUAACUACGUGCCAGCAGCCGCGGUAAUACGUAGGGGGCGAGCGUUAUCCGGAAUUAUUGGGCGUAAAGGGUUCGCAGGUGGUCCUUUAAGUCAGGUGUGAAAGGCAGUGGCUCAACCAUUGCAAGCACUUGAAACUGAAGGACUUGAGUACAGGAGAGGAAAGCGGAAUUCCUAGUGUAGCGGUGAAAUGCGUAGAUAUUAGGAGGAACACCAGUGGCGAAGGCGGCUUUCUGGACUGAAACUGACACUGAGGAACGAAAGCGUGGGGAGCAAA